This 237-nucleotide ribosomal RNA is filed under the name Neogloboquadrina dutertrei. Its description in RNAcentral is "partial 18S ribosomal RNA". Lineage: Eukaryota; Foraminifera; Rotaliida; Globorotaliidae. The record is from RNAcentral.
UCAAUAUUAUACACCGUAUUAAGCGCUUAGUUGCGAUUAUUGGCUCAUUAUUGGGUCUUUUAAUUGUAUUUCUAAUGCGCGCGGUAAAGCCUGCUUCGAGAGUAAGUGGGUAAUCCAUUGGAAGUAAUGAUUUCUCUUUUUAUAGCACACCUAUAUACGGCAUUCAUUCCCGGGACGACUAGUUUCGUCUUUUUUGUGCGAAUGUAAUGUAUUCUUUAUCCGUAUGUGCGAUUGUCA